GAGUUUUGUGCAUAAUUGACUUGUUAACAACAGCUGCAAUUCAAUGAUAUAUAUACCUAUCAAGAGGUUAGGUUGUUUUAGCGAAUGUUUGGUUCUACUGUGAGAAAAUUUGAUUUUGAGUGAAUUGAUUUUGGUUAAAGUGAGUUGAAUGUAAAGUGAUUUAUGUUUGAAUAACUUUAUACAAAAUUGAGUCGAACAGUAAAUUUCAAUGUAAAAAUCAUGUUUAAACUCAAAAACUACAAAUUCUAACUUCAAGUAGAAUAUUUUCUGGAGGGAGAAUCAAUUCUACUUUAGAAGAACCAAACACCUCAAAAUCAUUCUAAAAUCAAUUCCACACCUCUAGAAUUACUUUUGGCUCUUUCAAAAGGUAAACCAAACAUACACUUAGAUUUUGAAUAGUUUGAACUUUGCUAGUUCUUAUCUUUUUUCUUUAUUAAGUUAGCUUUUUGUAGUGUUGCUGAUAGUAGGUAACCAGUCACCAUUUUUAUUGACAUGCAUAUAAAUUCUUUUCUGCAAUAAGAAAAAAGCUGUGUUGUACAAAAGUCACUGAUGGUGCUGUUAGCAAAAGCAACAGUGCUUUUCUUCUUCUUCUUCUUUUUUUAGAAUAGUGGUUACUCUUGCACACCCUUUGCCUGUUGUUAAGAAGUGGAGCCCAGUUCAGCAUGCCAUGCAUCUCUUAUUGCACUAUGGAAUCUUUUGUUUUAUUGUUGACUGUUGGUUGCCAUCAGAAUUCAGAAGAUGGUACUUAUUUUGCAUUGUGCACAACACUGCUGGUUGCCCAACUUGUCCUGGGUAAUGGACUGGUCCAGCAGAGUAGUCAAUAGCAGCGCUAUCCCGCAAUAGCAGAGUGGAACGGAGGCCGGCCACUAUGGGAAGAGACUUAGCGGCGCAGAA
Long non-coding RNA from Lathyrus oleraceus (garden pea), 894 nucleotides. RefSeq lists it as uncharacterized. Lineage: Eukaryota; Viridiplantae; Streptophyta; Magnoliopsida; Fabales; Fabaceae. The record is from RefSeq and is a predicted model, not a curated record. The transcript has 3 exons.